RNAcentral lists this ribosomal RNA (433 nucleotides) under uncultured bacterium. RNAcentral describes it as "partial 16S ribosomal RNA". It matches the Rfam family "Bacterial small subunit ribosomal RNA", at positions 29 to 507 of the family's 1533-position model. The record is from RNAcentral.
AACGAACGCUGGCGGCAUGCCUAACACAUGCAAGUCGAACGAGACCUUCGGGUCUAGUGGCGCACGGGUGCGUAACGCGUGGGAACCUGCCCUUAGGUUCGGAAUAACUCCCCGAAAGGGGUGCUAAUACCGGAUAAUGUCUUCGGACCAAAGAUUUAUCGCCUUUGGAUGGGCCCGCGUUGGAUUAGCUAGUUGGUAGGGUAAAAGCCUACCAAGGCGACGAUCCAUAGCUGGUCUGAGAGGAUGAUCAGCCACACUGGGACUGAGACACGGCCCAGACUCCUACGGGAGGCAGCAGUGGGGAAUAUUGGACAAUGGGCGAAAGCCUGAUCCAGCAAUGCCGCGUGAGUGAUGAAGACCUUAGGGUAGUAAAGCUCUUUUACCCGGGAUGAUAAUGACAGUACCGGGAGAAUAAGCGCCGGCUAACUCCGUG